GACGAACGCUGGCGGCGUGCUUAACACAUGCAAGUCGAACGGAAAGGCCCUGCUUGCAGGGUACUCGAGUGGCGAACGGGCGAGUAACACGUGGGUGAUCUGCCCUGCACUUCGGGAUAAGCCUGGGAAACUGGGUCUAAUACCGGAUAGGAGCCAUUUUUAGUGUGAUGGUUGGAAAGUUUUUUCGGUGUAGGAUGAGCUCGCGGCCUAUCCGCUUGUUGGUGGGGUAAUGGCCUACCAAGGCGGCGACGGGUAGCCGGCCUGAGAGGGUGGACGGCCACAUUGGGACUGAGAUACGGCCCAGACUCCGACGGGAGGCAGCAGUGGGGAAUAUUGCACAAUGGGCGCAAGCCUGAUGCAGCGACGCCGCGUGGGGGAUAACGGCCUUCGGGUUGUAAACUCCUUUCGCUAGGGACGAAGCUUUUUGUGACGGUACCUAGAUAAGAAGCACCGGCUAACUACGUG
This 465-nucleotide ribosomal RNA is filed under the name uncultured bacterium. Its description in RNAcentral is "partial 16S ribosomal RNA". It matches the Rfam family "Bacterial small subunit ribosomal RNA", at positions 28 to 507 of the family's 1533-position model. The record is from RNAcentral.